Molecule: RNA transcript, 3306 nt
Organism: Brachypodium distachyon (stiff brome)
Lineage: Eukaryota; Viridiplantae; Streptophyta; Magnoliopsida; Poales; Poaceae
Gene name: arabinosyltransferase XEG113
Exons: 14
Source: RefSeq, a predicted model, not a curated record
UAUCACUCAUCCGGGUCAGGUGGGCCCCACCGACGCAUCUCUGAGGCAGCCCCACGCGACAGAGAAUGUCCGGAGCGCAGCGCCUGCCCCCACCUCCAGCUAGAUCCCGCGCUUCCGGCUCCGGCGACCCGACCUCCCCGGCCAACGAAAUGGCGGCGUGGUGCCCCGCCGAAUCCACCAAGCCUGUCUUCGUCGGGAUCUUCGGCGCCAUCCUCGGCGGCUUCGCUGUCUCCGCCCUCUUCUUCCUCCUCUCCUUCUCCUCCCUCGCAUCUCCCCCUCUCCCCUUCCCCGCCGUCGCCACCACCAUCACUCCCAACGCAUCCGCCCCCGCACAGCCGGAGACCAUGUACAACCGCCCCAUUUGGAAGCCUCCGCCGCGGGGUUCGCGGAUGCCCCCGCCGCGCGCCUUCCGCCUCACCCGCGACAUGGUGCGCGCGCGCGCCCGCGACGGCGUCAUCGUGGUCACCUUUGGCAACUACGCCUUCCUCGACUUCAUCCUCACCUGGGUGCACCACCUCACCGGCCUUGGGGUCGACAACCUCCUCGUAGGCGCCAUGGACACCAAACUGCUCCGCGAACUCUACCUCAGGGGCGUGCCCGUCUUCGACAUGGGCAGCAGGAUGGCCACGGAGGACGCCGGCUGGGGGUCCCCCGCCUUCCACAAGAUGGGCAGGGAGAAGGUGCUGCUCAUCAACACGCUCCUGCCAUUCGGCUACGAGCUGCUCAUGUGCGACACGGACAUGGUGUGGCUCAAGAACCCCUUGCCCUACCUUGCCCGCUACCCCGACGCUGAUAUCCUCACCUCCAGCGACCAAGUCAUACCCACAGUCACCGACGACAGCCUGGAGAAGUGGAGAGAAGUGUCUGGGGCAUUCAAUAUUGGUAUUUUCCAUUGGCGACCCACUGAACCUGCUAAAAGGCUGGCGAAAGAUUGGAAAGAUCUAGUCAUGUCUAACGAUGAAAUAUGGGACCAGAAUGCUUUUAAUGAUCUUGUACGCAAAGUUUUUGGACAACCUGUCCAAGGGCAAGAUGAACUUGUGUAUUCAUAUGAUGGGAAACUGAAGCUUGGAGUCCUACCAGCAACUAUAUUCUGCAACGGCCAUACCUACUUUGUGCAGGGCAUGCAUCAGCAGCUUCGUCUAGAACCGUAUGCUGUGCACACUACUUUCCAGUAUGCAGGUACUGAAGGAAAGCGCCAUAGAUUACGUGAGGCAAUGCUUUUCUUUGAUCCACCACCAUAUUAUGACUCACCAGGGGGUUUCCUAUCAUUUAGACCUAAUAUUCCCAAAAAAUUGCUGUUGGAUGGUACCCAUACAGUUAAAUCUCAUUUUGCAUUGGUCAAUUACCAGAUGAAGCAAGUAAGAACAGCACUUGCUAUUGCUUCGUUGUUAAAGCGAACCCUGGUAAUGCCUGCAUUAUGGUGCAGGCUUGAUAGGAUGUGGUUUGGGCAUCCUGGAGUUCUGGAAGGAACAAUGACAAGACAACCUUUUCUCUGCCCGAUGGAUCAUGUAUUUGAGGUAAAUGUUAUGCUUAAGGACUUGCCUGAGGAAGAUUUUGGUCCACAUAUUGAUUUCAGAGAAUACUCCUUUCUUGAGAAUCCAUCAUUGCCUAAACAGGUGAAAGAGUCCUUUCUUGAGGUGCAGCUCUGCGAUGAACAUAGUACCAGAUGCUCUACAGCUAAUGAAACCAAUAAGCACAGACCCCUUAUAUUAGCAAGGAAUAACACUGAAGAAACGCUUUUGAAUGUCUUCUCUCCAUACAAGAAUAUCAAAAUCUUACAAUUCUCGUCUAUUGUUGACGCCUUCAGAGGUUUUGCCGAUGCUGCUGUGGAGACGAAAUUUCGGGAUCGUGUGAAGAGGUAUGUGGGCAUAUGGUGCUGCGUGGAGUUCCGUGAAAUUGGGCACAUAUAUUAUGACAUGUACUGGGAUGAGAAACCAGGCUGGAAGCCGCAUCCCCCACAGAAUAGGGAAGAUGACCAUCCACCUUGGCCCUAACUAUGGAGGUAGAAGAAAGAGAUAAUUACGAAAAUGGAUGAGACUUUUGUGACAAAGGCAAGAUAGAUGGCUAAUUACCGCAGAGCGUCAACAGCUGUGUCAACUAUUAGUGUUGUUAGCUCAGUGGUUACUAAUGCUAUGAAAUAAGUAACACAAUCUCAGACAAACGGCAACGGAACCCACUUGUCGUGGUCGCACAAGAAACAUCUGUUGAUGCCUGAUUCUGCUACAAUUGGAACACCAGUUGGAGUCUGCUAUCUUGACACCACAAGACACUACCAAUAAAGAUUCCUCACAAGGUUUUACCAUUUUCAGCACUGAGGAUGCUAAUGGUCUAGGAAUGCAAGCGGUUAGUGGAGAGGAUUAUUCUAGGGUUGUUGUCAUACGGUACCCAAGUGACACAGUUUUGAAGUGGGAAGGCGAAACAGCUGCAAUCUGAUGCAAUAUUGCAACGAGGCAUUUGUGUCUAUGGGAUUUGGGAAAGUCAAAACAUCGUGCAGCAAUUUGUAGACGAAGAUUGGAUCGAUGGCUUCGAUGGGCCCCUAUGACGAGUCAAAUUAAUCCACGUAUAUACGACGUGUGUUAGCUUGGCACCGUGCAAUUAAAAUAAGUGCAAAACCCCACUUCAGUUCCUCUCUGCGUUAUUUCCUCCAUCGCUUUCUCCCAGGUCACAGCCACGCAUCAAGUCAUCAUUCUGUGCACACGCAGGAAUCGGGAGAUCGGAAACUCAUCUAAAUGAUCCGAUCCAUAUGUAAUCUCACCCCCAGCCCUAGGUUUUGAUUUUGUACACGCUGGCCGGCCGGCUUCGAACCUACGACCGUCGUGCUGCACUAUUCCGUGCAGGCUUUAAAAUCUGGAGUCUCGUUAAAGCGGAAACGGUGCCACCGAUUGCAUUGGCAUCCAUCCUCUUAGCCACAUGCUUUAAAAUCUGGAGUCUCGUCCCUAGCCUUACCCUUGAGCCCUUGACGCUGGCUUUCCACAUAUUAAUUCAGACUGGGGUGCAAUGGAUGUGGACUGCAAACUAGUACGGGGUACGUUCUUAUCUUCUUCUUCGGAACUGUUUGCAGUCUUCUUCAUGUACGAUGGACGGAUCGAUCACGCAAGAUGGGAAAAGAUCCCGAUGGCCCUUUAGGCAAUUACUACUGCUCCUACUAAUCAUGGAUAAUUGACACAUGGGAUUGGAAUAUUAAUUCACAGUGGUGAGGUGAUGUAAGAGUGCAAGACACGUUCAUCCGACGAAGCACGUCCCACAUAUAUGGGUUAUAUAUAUGCGGUACAUCCUCCAAUGCAAAUGGAGUGAAGCUACGACAAA